AUCCUUUUGUAGUUCAUGAGCGUGAUCAUUGGGUGUUUACACACGUGUGAGAUGUGCCAUCCUUGAACCUUGUUAUGAUGUCAGCACAUUACCCAUCUAACA
This is a small nucleolar RNA of Pongo abelii (Sumatran orangutan), 102 nucleotides long. NCBI's taxonomy places the organism in Eukaryota, Metazoa, Chordata, Mammalia, Primates, Hominidae. The record is from Ensembl.